AACUUCCGGUAGCGCCGUAAGAAGGAAAAUCAGGGAAUUCGAUGCACCUGUGCCUAGUUAGGGACAGCGGUUGGUGAUUGGAGGAUACGCUGGACAAGGCAGUACUUAAGGCCAAGUUAUUUCACAGUCUGGGAGCUCUUUCUGGUGGGUGUGAAGCACUGUGUUGUGCCUGUCUUGGUGCGCUGCUGGUGGCUGUCUAACACUCUCUCUCCCUCAGGCUGGAAUUGUAUGAUUGUGAAGACAUCGCGAACCUUAAAGGUUGAGAAGUGAACGGAUUAUACGAUCCGAACCAAGCGAAGUGAAGGAAGACGGGUGUCCUUUUCGUACACUGAGUGUGGUGGAUAAACCCCCGCCUUCACGCACUUCGUCGCGGGAGGACAAGGAGACUGCUGGUCCUAGCCUAGUUCAGUACAGUAUAUGUUGUGAGCGUGCUUCAGAUCUCCGGAGAUAGCACGGUACGCUGUGUCCAGCCCAGAGGUGAAAGCCAUCCAAAGCAGAGUAACUGUGCUUUGUGUCCAAGUUGAUACCUGUGGAGAGGAAAGGAAAGAGAGAGUGAGUAACACAAGGAGAACCAGAGGGAACCUGUACUUACAGUACGCUGUGUUCAGCCCAGAGGUGAGAGCCAUUCAAAGCAAACUAACUGUGCUAUUGUGCCCAAGUUGAUAUCUGUGGAGAGAAAAGGAGAGAGAGUGAAUAACACGAGGAGAGACCGAGGGAAACCUGUACUUACGCCGCUGCCUGUGGAGAAAGAGAAACCGUUGCCUGUGGAGGAAGAGAAAGAGAGUGAGCACCCCGAGAACGAACUGUGUGAACCAGUACUUACCGUGAGCUGUAUUCAGCGAAGAGGAGGAAGAAGGAGGGCGCUACGGAUACCUAAGACUCAGGCCGGGGCCCGAGUCCCACGCCCCGGAUCCCCGUGGCCCCCUUGCUCCCUGACCUCUUCCCGGCCAUAGCCCAUCUGGAGGGCCGAGUCAG
Molecule: long non-coding RNA, 975 nt
Organism: Cyprinus carpio carpio
Lineage: Eukaryota; Metazoa; Chordata; Actinopteri; Cypriniformes; Cyprinidae
Source: Ensembl